RNAcentral lists this ribosomal RNA (497 nucleotides) under uncultured bacterium. Its description in RNAcentral is "partial 16S ribosomal RNA". It matches the Rfam family "Bacterial small subunit ribosomal RNA", at positions 28 to 507 of the family's 1533-position model. The record is from RNAcentral.
GAUGAACGCUGGCGGCGUGCCUAAUACAUGCAAGUCGAGCGGACAGUAGAGGAGCUAGCUCCUCUGAGGUUAGCGGUGGUCGGGUGAGUGACACGUGGAUAAACUACCUAUCAACCUGGGUUAACCUGGGGGAAACGCUGGUAAUACCGGGUAAAAUAUUGCAUCAAAUGGUUCAAUCGUAAGUGUCGGUUUUGCUGUCACUUUUAGAUAGAUCUGCGCCGCAUUCUCUAGUUGGUAAUGUAACGGCUUAAGCAGGCAACGAUGCUUAUCCGACCGGAGAGGGUGAUCGGCCACCCUGUAACAGAGACAGGGUCCAGACACCUACGGGAGGCAGCAGUAGGGAAUCUUACGCAAUGGACGAAAGCUUGACGGUGCAACGCCGCGUGAGUGAUGAUGGUCUUCGGAUCGUAAAACGCUGUUAUUAGUGAAGAACAAAAGUGUAAGUAACUAUGCACGUCUUGACGGUACCAAAGCAGAAAGCCACGGCUAACUACGUG